CCUACGGGAGGCAGCAGUGGGGAAUAUUGGACAAUGGGGGGAACCCUGAUCCAGCCAUGCCGCGUGUGUGAAGAAGGCCCUCGGGUUGUAAAGCACUUUCAGUGAGGAAGAACGCCUGGUGGUUAAUACCCAUCAGGAAAGACAUCACUCACAGAAGAAGCACCGGCUAACUCCGUGCCAGCAGCCGCGGUAAUACGGAGGGUGCGAGCGUUAAUCGGAAUUACUGGGUGUAAAGCGCGCGUAGGUGGCUUGAUAAGCCGGUUGUGAAAGCCCCGGGCUCAACCUGGGAACGGCAUCCGGAACUGUCAAGCUAGAGUGCAGGAGAGGAAGGUAGAAUUCCCGGUGUAGCGGUGAAAUGCGUAGAGAUCGGGAGGAAUACCAGUGGCGAAGGCGGCCUUCUGGACUGACACUGACACUGAGGUGCGAAAGCGUGGGUAGCAAACAGGAUUAGAUACCCCUGUAGUC
This 465-nucleotide ribosomal RNA is filed under the name Vreelandella stevensii. RNAcentral describes it as "partial 16S ribosomal RNA". It matches the Rfam family "Bacterial small subunit ribosomal RNA", at positions 338 to 795 of the family's 1533-position model. The record is from RNAcentral. Lineage: Bacteria; Pseudomonadati; Pseudomonadota; Gammaproteobacteria; Oceanospirillales; Halomonadaceae.